RNAcentral lists this ribosomal RNA (253 nucleotides) under uncultured bacterium. Its description in RNAcentral is "partial 16S ribosomal RNA". It matches the Rfam family "Bacterial small subunit ribosomal RNA", at positions 524 to 776 of the family's 1533-position model. The record is from RNAcentral.
UACGUAGGGGGCGAGCGUUGUCCGGAUUUAUUGGGCGUAAAGAGCGUGUAGGCGGCCAGGUAGGUCUGCUGUGAAAACUCGAGGCUCAACCUCGAGACGUCGAUGGAAACCGCAUGGCUAGAGUCCGGAAGAGGAGAGUGGAAUUCCUGGUGUAGCGGUGAAAUGCGCAGAUAUCAGGAAGAACACCCGUGGCGAAGGCAGCUCUCUGGGACGGUACUGACGCUGAGACGCGAAAGCGUGGGGAGCGAACAGG